AGAUGCUUUUAGCCUGAAAAGGAGAAUAGAAAUGCAUUUUCUCUAAACAUACAAGAGCACUCAUUUCCAGAGAGAUCCUGGACUGGAGGGACAGGAGCGUGACCCAGGCUGUUCAUCAUGAAUGGUGGGGCCCGCUGGGAGCAUGCUCCUCUCCUAAAAUGGACUCACAACUCUUCCUCUCUGUCAGGCUGGCUGGGGCUUCCAGGGAGCUCAAGAUCAAAUCCGGGGGCAAAGAGACAGAAGAACUAAAACUCAGAGUGACCACCAAUGCAGCUAUGAAACAGGUGGCAACAGCCAAGUGGAAGAAGCCAAGUGAAGGGCUAUGGGGACCUAGAAGAUGGAGUCGUCACACAAUGGAAGAAUUGCAGAUCUCUGAGUCACCAUUUGGACAAGAACCUACUAGAACAGGUGCCUGAACAAGAACACUGGACUUUGUGUGAGUGAGAAACAAACUUUUAUUGUGCUAAGCCACCGAGAUUUUGGGUUGGUUUUUAUAGUAGCUGGUGUUGCUUACACUGACUAAUACAUCUUGAAAGUAAAUGAUGCAAAACAAUUCUACUUAUUCACAGGGGGUGGUAUUUAUAAGGGAAAAGAAUAACAGGGUGGUGUCAGUGAUGGGUCCUGAUAAGUAAGCAACAAAAAGGAAGGGGCCCCAGGUAGGGAAGAACAAUUGUUCUGAGAGACUGUUAAUCACAAACAACCUGCUAGCCCCACAUCCUGUUCUCAAAUACUUUGCUCAGCAUGUAGCCCCAGCAGCAUGACUUUGUCUGCAUGUAGACCCUCCAGCAUGACCCUAUAAAAUUUCCCUCCAGCCACUGCCUCUUGGCAGACAGUCCCUUCUCCGCUGUGCUGCCCACUGCUUUCUUACAACGUUAUCUUUGUACUUUCUUUAAUAAAUCUGCCUUUCUUUACCCACAA
This 918-nucleotide long non-coding RNA is filed under the name Pan troglodytes (chimpanzee). RNAcentral's name for it is "lincRNA". Lineage: Eukaryota; Metazoa; Chordata; Mammalia; Primates; Hominidae. The record is from RNAcentral.